RNAcentral lists this ribosomal RNA (461 nucleotides) under uncultured bacterium. RNAcentral describes it as "partial 16S ribosomal RNA". It matches the Rfam family "Bacterial small subunit ribosomal RNA", at positions 29 to 507 of the family's 1533-position model. The record is from RNAcentral.
ACGAACGCUGGCGGCGUGCUUAACCCCUGCAAGUCGAGCGGUAAGGCCUUUCGGGGUACACGAGCGGCGAACGGGUGAGUAACACGUGGGUGAUCUGCCCUGCACUUCGGGAUAAGCCUGGGAAACUGGGUCUAAUACCGGAUAUGACCUCCUAUCGCAUGGUGGGUGGUGGAAAGAUUUAUCGGUGCAGGAUGGGCCCGCGGCCUAUCAGCUUGUUGGUGGGGUAAUGGCCUACCAAGGCGACGACGGGUAGCCGACCUGAGAGGGUGACCGGCCACACUGGGACUGAGACACGGCCCAGACUCCUACGGGAGGCAGCAGUGGGGAAUAUUGCACAAUGGGCGAAAGCCUGAUGCAGCGACGCCGCGUGAGGGAUGACGGCCUUCGGGUUGUAAACCUCUUUCAGCAGGGACGAAGCGCAAGUGACGGUACCUGCAGAAGAAGCACCGGCUAACUACGUG